This 285-nucleotide ribosomal RNA is filed under the name uncultured bacterium. RNAcentral's name for it is "partial 16S ribosomal RNA". It matches the Rfam family "Bacterial small subunit ribosomal RNA", at positions 338 to 639 of the family's 1533-position model. The record is from RNAcentral.
CCUACGGGAGGCAGCAGUGGGGAAUAUUGCGCAAUGGGCGAAAGCCUGACGCAGCGACGCCGCGUGAGGGAUGAAGGCCUUCGGGUUGUAAACCUCUUUCAGCAGGGACGAAAAUCAGACGGUACCUGCAGAAGAAGCACCGGCCAACUACGUGCCAGCAGCCGCGGUAAUACGUAGGGUGCAAGCGUUGUCCGGAAUUAUUGGGCGUAAAGAGCUCGUAGGCGGUUUGUCGCGUCGGCUGUGAAAACUCGGGGCUNAACCCCGAGCCUGCAGUCGAUCGGGCAG